RNAcentral lists this non-coding RNA (23 nucleotides) under Arabidopsis thaliana (thale cress). Lineage: Eukaryota; Viridiplantae; Streptophyta; Magnoliopsida; Brassicales; Brassicaceae. The record is from RNAcentral.
GUGUGCAAAGAGUUUGCGGGCCC